RNAcentral lists this ribosomal RNA (331 nucleotides) under uncultured bacterium. Its description in RNAcentral is "bacterial SSU rRNA". It matches the Rfam family "Bacterial small subunit ribosomal RNA", at positions 568 to 898 of the family's 1533-position model. The record is from RNAcentral.
CGCGUAGGCGGCUCUGUUUGUCGCGUGUGAAAGCCCCGGGCUCAACCUGGGAGGUGCGCGCGAGACGGCGGGGCUGGAGUUCGGGAGAGGAGCGUGGAAUUCCCAGUGUAGAGGUGAAAUUCGUAGAUAUUGGGAAGAACACCGGUGGCGAAGGCGGCGCUCUGGACCGAGACUGACGCUGAGGCGCGAAAGCGUGGGGAGCAAACAGGAUUAGAUACCCUGGUAGUCCACGCUGUAAACGAUGUGUGCUAGACGUUGGGAGGCCUAGCCUCUCGGUGUCGCAGCCAACGCGGUAAGCACACCGCCUGGGGAGUACGGCCGCAAGGUUAAA